This is a long non-coding RNA of Lontra canadensis (Northern American river otter), 378 nucleotides long. RefSeq lists it as uncharacterized. The transcript is spliced from 3 exons. The record is from RefSeq and is a predicted model, not a curated record. NCBI's taxonomy places the organism in Eukaryota, Metazoa, Chordata, Mammalia, Carnivora, Mustelidae.
GCAGACAGGGAAAUGCAGCAGACUGGGUAGCUGGAGCUUUGGACCCACACCCCCAAGGCAGAGGUUCUGAUGAGGACAUCCAACAAAGAUAUAGAUGCCCAGGUAGACGGAGGGAACAACCUGUCUUGGUUUGCCCCAAACUGUUUCAGUGUCCCAGGAAAACCCCGCCGUUCCAGGUACACAGCAGUAGAUGUACACCCUACCAGUGCGUGUCCUCAUGGAAUUCUAGACCUAGAAGGGAACGUGGUGACUAAUGCAAUUCUCAGUCUACCUGAAAUUUAAGUAACAAGUUCGUAUUAGCUUCAAUUUGUUUUAUACGUAAAAGGGAAAGGGGUGUGUGUGUGUGUGUGUGUGUUCAAGAAAGAGAGAGAGAGAGAG